This is a long non-coding RNA of Ictalurus punctatus (channel catfish), 426 nucleotides long. The record is from Ensembl. NCBI's taxonomy places the organism in Eukaryota, Metazoa, Chordata, Actinopteri, Siluriformes, Ictaluridae.
AGACAGACUAGAGAAGGACCUCAUCCAGUUGUGUGUUACUUCUGCAUAGCACAAAUGGCCACACACGAUUUUAUGGCAAUACUAGAGAUCCUGAUCCUUUCUUCUCUCCGGACCUGCCUGAUCUAUUUCGUAUGCCCUACCUCUGGAUGGAGCUCUCAUCUACUCCAAUUCCAGAUUGCUGGGACUACGGCUGCUUCAAAGGCCAAACAAACUUCAUAUAAAUCCAUAAUGAACUUUUUCACAUUAUCUGUUGUUACCCAGAUGAGGAUGGGUUCCCUUCUGAGUCUGGUUCCUCUCAAGGUUUCUUCUUCAUGCUAUCUCAUUCCUUGCUGCUGUCGCCUCUGGCUUGCUCUUUAAUCUGGAUUUCUGUAAAGCUGCUUUCUGACACUGUCUAUUAUUAAAAGUUCUAUUCAAAUAUGAAUUGAA